UACGUAGGGGGCAAGCGUUAUCCGGAUUUACUGGGUGUAAGGGAGCGUAGACGGCAGGGCAAGUCCGAUGUGAAAACCCGGGGCUCAACCGCGGGAUUGCAUUGGAAACUGCUCGGCUCGAGUACUGGAGGGGUAAGCGGAAUUCCUAGUGUAGCGGUGAAAUGCGUAGAUAUUAGGAGGAACACCGGCGGCGAAAGCGGCUUACUGGACAGUAACUGACGUUGAGGCUCGAAAGCGUGGGGAGCAAACA
RNAcentral lists this ribosomal RNA (250 nucleotides) under uncultured prokaryote. Its description in RNAcentral is "partial 16S ribosomal RNA". It matches the Rfam family "Bacterial small subunit ribosomal RNA", at positions 524 to 774 of the family's 1533-position model. The record is from RNAcentral.